CAUUCGACGCAACGCGAAGAACCUUACCAGGCUUGAACCGCCGGUGACAACCCUGGAAACAGGGUCUUCCUUCGGGACGCCGGUAGAGGUGCUGCAUGGCUGUCGUCAGCUCGUGUCGUGAGAUGUUGGGUUAAGUCCCGCAACGAGCGCAACCCUUGCCCUUAGUUACCAUCGGGUCAUGCCGGGGACUCUAGGGGGACUGCCCCGGAAAACGGGGAGGAAGGUGGGGAUGACGUCAAGUCCUCAUGGCCUUUAUGUCUGGGGCUACACACGUGCUACAAUGGGCGGUACAAAGGGUCGCAAUGCCGCGAGGCUGAGCUAAUCCCAAAAAACCGUCCCCAGUUCGGAUUGGAGUCUGCAACUCGACUCCAUGAAGUUGGAAUCGCUAGUAAUCGCGGAUCAGCACGCCGCGGUGAAUACGUUCCCGGGCCUUGUACACACCGCCCGUCACAUCACGAAAGUCGGUUGCACUCGAAGUCGCUGAGCUAACCCGCAAGGGGGGCAGGCGCCUACGGUGUGAUCGAUGAUUGGGGUG
Molecule: ribosomal RNA, 535 nt
Filed under: uncultured soil bacterium
Lineage: Bacteria
Description: bacterial SSU rRNA
Rfam family: Bacterial small subunit ribosomal RNA
Source: RNAcentral